RNAcentral lists this non-coding RNA (27 nucleotides) under Bombyx mori (domestic silkworm). Lineage: Eukaryota; Metazoa; Arthropoda; Insecta; Lepidoptera; Bombycidae. The record is from RNAcentral.
GAUCGCAAUGAUACGGUGGAAAUUUUA